UCCGAAGGGGGCUAGCGUUGCUCGGAAUCACUGGGCGUAAAGGGUGCGUAGGCGGGUCUUUAAGUCAGGGGUGAAAUCCUGGAGCUCAACUCCAGAACUGCCUUUGAUACUGAAGAUCUUGAGUUCGGGAGAGGUGAGUGGAACUGCGAGUGUAGAGGUGAAAUUCGUAGAUAUUCGCAAGAACACCAAUGGCGAAGGCAGCUCGCUGGGACGGUACUGACGCUGAGGCGCGAAAGCGUGGGGAGCAAACAGG
This 253-nucleotide ribosomal RNA is filed under the name uncultured bacterium. RNAcentral's name for it is "partial 16S ribosomal RNA". It matches the Rfam family "Bacterial small subunit ribosomal RNA", at positions 524 to 776 of the family's 1533-position model. The record is from RNAcentral.